CCACCCGUAGCUCAGCUGGAUAGAGUGCAUGCCUCCGGAGCAUGAGGUCACAGGUUCGAAUCCUGUCGGGUGGGCCA
RNAcentral lists this transfer RNA (77 nucleotides) under Colwellia sp. RNAcentral describes it as "tRNA-Arg". It matches the Rfam family "tRNA". Rfam says of the family: Transfer RNA (tRNA) molecules are approximately 80 nucleotides in length. Their secondary structure includes four short double-helical elements and three loops (D, anti-codon, and T loops). Lineage: Bacteria; Pseudomonadati; Pseudomonadota; Gammaproteobacteria; Alteromonadales; Colwelliaceae. RNAcentral also lists the same sequence under 2 other names. The record is from RNAcentral.